This 422-nucleotide ribosomal RNA is filed under the name uncultured cyanobacterium. RNAcentral's name for it is "bacterial SSU rRNA". It matches the Rfam family "Bacterial small subunit ribosomal RNA", at positions 358 to 795 of the family's 1533-position model. Lineage: Bacteria; Bacillati; Cyanobacteriota. The record is from RNAcentral.
GGAAUUUUCCGCAAUGGGCGAAAGCCUGACGGAGCAACGCCGCGUGAGGGAUGAAGGCCUCUGGGCUGUAAACCUCUUUUAUCAAGGAAGAAGAUCUGACGGUACUUGAUGAAUAAGCCACGGCUAAUUCCGUGCCAGCAGCCGCGGUAAUACGGGAGUGGCAAGCGUUAUCCGGAAUUAUUGGGCGCAAAGCGUCCGCAGGCGGUCUUUUAAGUCUGCUGUUAAAGCGUGGAGCUUAACUCCAUUUCGGCAGUGGAAACUGGAAGACUAGAGUGUGGUAGGGGCAGAGGGAAUUCCCGGUGUAGCGGUGAAAUGCGUAGAUAUCGGGAAGAACACCAGUGGCGAAGGCGCUCUGCUGGGCCAUAACUGACGCUCAUGGACGAAAGCCAGGGGAGCGAAAGGGAUUAGAUACCCCAGUAGUC